GUGCUACUUUUUAUCAGGUGGACUGUCAACUUGUUUGCCAUAAGCCGUAGCACAAAAAAUAGUUUCAAUAGCUUUCUGUGAUUCAUAUUGUAAUAUAUUAAUUCAACUACUUAGUGAUUAUAAUACAUCAAAACUAAAUGAAAAGAUUGGUCUAACAUCACAAACCACCAAAACCACGAAACGUCUAGAAAAACAUCGAGGUCUCCAAAUACGUAUGAGGCAGCCUUGUGACCGGCUUUUUUCGUUAAACCUUCAUUAUUUAAAUGGACUUCAGCAGUUGCAGAUCAGUAGUCUUCACCUGAUUCUACGAGUAUCAACAAUCAACAACUAAAACGCCCAAAAUGCCCGCACCUUGUGAGCCCUGCAAAGACUCGUGCAAGAAUGGCGCCAACUGCAAAGACGGCUGCACUUGUCAAGCCGAUUGUACCGAUUGUUCCACUAAACAAGGUGGUUGUUGCUGAACAUUUUCAACCAUGAAGUGCUUUCUUCUCCAUUUACUGGCGCAUGGAUAAUGUUAAUCAAAGAUAGUUUUAUGAAAUAAAUACAAUAUUUAAAAUAUA
This is a long non-coding RNA of Galleria mellonella (greater wax moth), 560 nucleotides long. RefSeq lists it as uncharacterized. NCBI's taxonomy places the organism in Eukaryota, Metazoa, Arthropoda, Insecta, Lepidoptera, Pyralidae. The record is from RefSeq and is a predicted model, not a curated record. The transcript has 4 exons.